GGGGAUAUAGCUCAGUUAGUAGAGUGCUUGCUUUGCAUGCAGAAGACCCUGGGUUCGAUCCCCAGCUACACACA
Ictidomys tridecemlineatus (thirteen-lined ground squirrel) is the source of this 74-nucleotide non-coding RNA. The record is from Rfam. Lineage: Eukaryota; Metazoa; Chordata; Mammalia; Rodentia; Sciuridae.